This 114-nucleotide ribosomal RNA is filed under the name Ipomoea nil (Japanese morning glory). Lineage: Eukaryota; Viridiplantae; Streptophyta; Magnoliopsida; Solanales; Convolvulaceae. The record is from RNAcentral.
GGAUGCGAUCAUACCAGCACUAAUGCACCGGAUCCCAUCAGAACUCCGAAGUUAAGCGUGCUUGGGCGAGAGUAGUACUAGGAUGGGUGACCCGAAGUCCUCGUGUUGCAUCCC